AACGUAGGAGACAAACGUUAUCCGGAAUUACUGGGCGUAAAGCGCGCGUAGGUGGUUUGUUAAGUUGGAUGCGAAAGCCCCGGGCUCAACCUGGGAACUGCAUCCAAAACUGGCAAGCUAGAGUACGGUAGAGGGUGGUGGAAUUUCCUGUGUAGCGGUGAAAUGCGUAGAUAUAGGAAGGAACACAAGUGGCGAAGGCGACCACCUGGACUGAUACUGACACUGAGGUGCGAAAGCGUGGGGAGCAAACAGG
This 253-nucleotide unclassified non-coding RNA is filed under the name uncultured Pseudomonadaceae bacterium. RNAcentral describes it as "contains 16S-23S intergenic spacer region". It matches the Rfam family "Bacterial small subunit ribosomal RNA", at positions 524 to 776 of the family's 1533-position model. Lineage: Bacteria; Pseudomonadati; Pseudomonadota; Gammaproteobacteria; Pseudomonadales; Pseudomonadaceae. The record is from RNAcentral.